UCUCCAAGACAGGCGAAAAAAUGAACCUUUUGCUGCUUGGUACUUUUCUGUUUUUGUAUACUCCUAUAGCCUGGACAAGAGAUAGACAUUAUUACAUUGGAAUUAUUGAAGCAGUUUGGAACUAUGCCUCUGAAAAUGGAGAAAAGAAACUUAUUUCAGUUGACACGGAACAGUCUAAUCUCUAUCUUCAAAAUGGCCCAGAUCAUAUUGGAAGAACAUACAAGAAGGCCCUUUAUGUUCAGUAUACAGAUGGCACCUUUAGGAUGACUAUAGACAAACCAGUGUGGCUAGGGUUUUUAGGCCCUAUCAUCAAAGCAGAAGUGGGAGAUAAAGUAUAUGUUCACUUAAAGAACUUUGCCUCUAGGCCCUAUACUUUUCAUUCACAUGGGGUAACUUACUACAAGGAGCAUGAGGGGGCUAUCUAUCCUGACAACACCACUGAUUUUCAAAAAGCAGAUGAUAAAGUGUUUCCUGGAGAGCAAUAUUUGUAUGUGCUGCAUGCCAGUGAGCAAAGUCCUGGUGAAGGAGACAGCAAUUGUGUGACCAGGAUUUACCAUUCCCAUGUUGAUGCGCCCAAAGAUAUUGCAUCAGGACUCAUAGGACCUUUAAUACUCUGUAAAAAAGGUUCUCUAGAUAAGGAAAAAGAAAAAAAUAUUGACCAAGAAUUUGUAGUAAUGUUCUCUGUGGUGGAUGAAAAUCUCAGCUGGUAUCUAGAAGAUAACAUCAACACCUUCUGCUCUGAACCAAAGAAAGUUGACAAAGACAAUGAAGAUUUUCAGGAGAGCAACAGGAUGUACUCUUUGAAUGGAUACACAUUUGGAAGCCUUCCAGGACUCUCCAUGUGUGCAGAAGACAGAGUGAAAUGGUAUCUUUUUGGUAUGGGUAACGAAAUUGAUGUGCAUGCAGCUUUCUUUCAUGGUCAAGCACUGACCAGCAAGAACUACCGUACUGAUACAAUCAACCUGUUCCCUGCCACCUUAUUUGAUGCUUUUAUGGUGGCCCAGAAUCCUGGAGUCUGGAUGCUCAGUUGCCAGAACCUAAACCACUUGAAAGCCGGUUUGCAGGCCUUUUUCCAAGUUCGAAACUGUAACAAGCCUUCACCAGAGGCUGAUACCCAAGAGAGACAUGUGAGACACUAUUACAUUGCUGCUGAAGAGAUCAUCUGGGAUUAUGCUCCUUCUGGGACAGAUGUCUUCACUGGAGACAAUUUAACAGCCCUGGAAAGUGAUUCAAGGGUAUUUUUUGAACAAGGUGCUAUGAGAAUUGGUGGCUCUUAUAAAAAAAUGGUUUAUCGUGAGUACACAGAUGACUCCUUCAUGAAACGAAAACAGAGAGGCCCUGAUGAGGAACAUCUUGGAAUCCUUGGUCCUGUCAUUUGGGCAGAAGUAGGAGACAUCAUUAAAGUCACCUUUCAUAACAAAGGACCAUAUCCUCUCAGCAUUCAGCCAACGGGGGUGAGAUUCACUGUUGAAAAUGAGGGAACAUAUUAUGCUCCACCUGCCCACUCCCUGAAGGGAGGUGUGCCUCAUCCUCAAGCAGCUUCCCAUGUAGCACCCAAAGAAACCUUUACAUAUGAAUGGACUGUUCCCAAAGAAAUGGGACCCACUUAUGCAGAUCCUGUGUGCUUAUCUAGGAUGUAUUAUUCUGCUGUAGAUCCCACCAAAGAUAUAUUUACUGGGCUUAUUGGGCCAAUGAAAAUAUGCAAGAAAGGUAGCUUACUUACAAAUGGAAGACAGAAGGAUGUAGACAAGGAGUUCUACUUAUUUCCCACAGUGUUUGAUGAGAAUGAGAGUUUACUCUUGGAUGAUAAUAUCAGGAUGUUCACAGCUGCACCUGAUCAUGUGGAUAAGAAAGACGAAGACUUCCAGGAGUCUAAUAAGAUGCACUCUAUGAAUGGAUUCAUGUAUGGCAAUCAGCCUGGCCUCAACAUGUGUCUAGGAGAUUCCAUUGUGUGGUAUUUGUUCAGUGCUGGAAAUGAAGCUGAUGUACAUGGAAUAUACUUUUCAGGAAACACUUAUCUGUCUAAAGGAGAAAGACGAGACACUGCAAACCUCUUCCCUCAUACAAGUCUGACCCUUCUCAUGCAGCCUGACACAGAAGGGACUUUUGAUGUAGAGUGUCUUACAACAGAUCACUACACAGGUGGCAUGAAGCAAAAAUAUACUGUGAACCAAUGCAAGCAGCAAUCUGAAGAGUCCACCGUCUACCUGGGAGAAAGGACCUACUAUGUCGCAGCAGUGGAGGUGGAAUGGGACUAUUCACCAAGCAGGGACUGGGAAAAGGAACUGCAUCAUUUGCAAGAACAAAAUAUUUCAAAUGCAUUUUUGGAUAAGGAAGAAUUUUACAUAGGCUCAAAGUACAAGAAAGUUGUGUAUCGGCAAUUUACUGACAGCACGUUCAGAGAACAGGUGAAGAGAAAAGCUGAAGAUGAGCACUUGGGCAUCCUAGGUCCACAAAUUCAUGCAGAUAUUGGAGACAAAGUUAAAAUUGUCUUUAAAAACAUGGCAACCAGGCCAUAUUCAAUACAUGCCCAUGGGGUGAAAACAGAGAAUUCUACAGUUGUUCCAACACUGCCAGGUGAAAUUCGCAUUUAUAUAUGGCAAAUCCCAGAGAGAUCAGGCGCUGGAGCAGAGGAUGCCCCUUGUAUACCAUGGGCUUACUACUCAACUGUGGAUCGAGUUAAGGAUCUCUAUAGCGGACUAAUAGGCCCACUGGUUGUUUGUCGGAAAUCUUACAUGAAAGUAUUCAAUCCUAUAAAAAAAAUGGAGUUUUUCCUUUUGUUUCUAAUAUUUGAUGAGAAUGAAUCUUGGUACUUAGAUGACAACAUCAAAAUAUACUCUGAUCAUCCUGAGAAAGUAAACAAAGAUGAUGAGGAAUUCAUAGAAAGCAAUAAAAUGCAUGCUAUUAAUGGAAAAAUGUUUGGAAACCUACAAGGCCUCACAAUGCACGUAGGAGAUGAAGUCAAUUGGUAUGUGAUGGGAAUGGGCAAUGAAAUAGACUUGCACACCGUACACUUUCAUGGCCACAGCUUCCAAUACAAGCACAGGGGAAUUUACAGUUCUGAUGUCUUUGACCUUUUCCCCGGAACAUACCAAACCCUAGAAAUGUUCCCCCAAACACCUGGAACCUGGUUACUCCACUGCCACGUGACUGACCAUGUUCAUGCUGGAAUGGAAACUACCUACACUGUCUUACCAAAUCAAGGUGAAUAUACAGCAUACUCUCAGAGUUACAGGAUGACCUGGAACAUCCACUAUACACUCUUAAUCAGCAUGAUUAUUUUAUUCCACAUAUUUUAUUCCACCAAGGACUGGCCAAGAAAAUAAGGCUCCAGCUGACUGCCAUCCAUCAGGGCAGCUCUUACCAGCAGAUGAGCCUCACUGAGAGAAUGAAGGCUAAAGAAUCUGAAGAACAAUGGACAAAUGAGACAUCUGAAGGAAAAGGACAAAUCAUCCAGAAAAAAAAAUGUCCCAAAAAAAAGACUUAAUUGUCCUAUCAAUAUCACAUAUCUAACUGGAUAAAAUUUCAUAAGUCUUCCUAAAUGUUUGUUUCUGCUUUUCUCUAGAGACACAGAAUGCAAAUGGUCUUUAUGUAGUCCCAGUUCAAUUAAAAAAUUAAAGCUGGAUCUGGAGUUGGAGUGUGGCUUGCUCCUUCUCUAAAUCCAACCACACUUAUUAAAAAAAAAAUCAAAAAUUUCUGUAUCCUGUCCAAAGAGCCAUCUUAUUUGGGACAGAAAAAUACCCAAAAUUAAAGGACUAUUCAAUUGCGA
RNA transcript from Peromyscus maniculatus bairdii (prairie deer mouse), 3769 nucleotides. It is a transcript of the gene named ceruloplasmin, with no coding region annotated. The record is from RefSeq and is a predicted model, not a curated record. Lineage: Eukaryota; Metazoa; Chordata; Mammalia; Rodentia; Cricetidae.